UGGGGAAUUUUGGACAAUGGGCGCAAGCCUGAUCCAGCAAUGCCGCGUGCAGGAUGAAGGCCUUCGGGUUGUAAACUGCUUUUUGUACGGAACGAAACGGUGAACUCUAAUAAAGUUUGCUAAUGACGGUACCGUAAGAAUAAGCACCGGCUAACUACGUGCCAGCAGCCGCGGUAAUACGUAGGGUGCGAGCGUUAAUCGGAAUUACUGGGCGUAAAGCGUGCGCAGGCGGUUAUAUAAGACAGAUGUGAAAUCCUCGGGCUCAACCUGGGACCUGCAUUUGUGACUGUAUGGCUGGAGUACGGUAGAGGGGGAUGGAAUUCCGCGUGUAGCAGUGAAAUGCGUAGAUAUGCGGAGGAACACCGAUGGCGAAGGCAAUCCCCUGGACCUGUACUGACGCUCAUGCACGAAAGCGUGGGGAGCAAACAGGAUUAGAUACCCCAGUAGUCCCUGAGCGGGCUGGCAAGGCGCAU
RNAcentral lists this ribosomal RNA (473 nucleotides) under uncultured bacterium. RNAcentral describes it as "bacterial SSU rRNA". It matches the Rfam family "Bacterial small subunit ribosomal RNA", at positions 355 to 825 of the family's 1533-position model. The record is from RNAcentral.